Molecule: ribosomal RNA, 321 nt
Filed under: uncultured Chloroflexota bacterium
Lineage: Bacteria; Bacillati; Chloroflexota
Description: bacterial SSU rRNA
Rfam family: Bacterial small subunit ribosomal RNA
Source: RNAcentral
GAUGAACGCUGGCGGCGUGCCUAAUACAUGCAAGUCGAACGUGAGCUCAAUUUCGGUUGGGUGAAAGUGGCGAACGGGUGAGUAACACAUGGCUGACCUGCCCUUCAGCGGGGGAUAACUACUGGAAACGGUGGCUAAUACCGCGUACGUUCGUGGGGAUUAGAAGCCCACGAGGAAAGCUUCGGCGCUGAAGGAGGGGGCUGUGACCCAUCAGCUAGUUGGUAGGGUAAGAGCCUACCAAGGCGAGGACGGGUAGGGGGCCUGAGAGGGUGACCCCCCACACUGGCACUGAGAGACGGGCCAGACUCCUACGGGAGGCAG